CCCUUAGAUGUCCGGGGCCGCACGCGCGCUACACUGAAGGAAUCAGCGUGGCUUUCUCCCUGACCCGAAAGGGUUGGGAAACCCGUUGAAUCUCCUUCGUGAUAGGGAUUGGGGCUUGAAAUUGUUCCCCAUGAACGAGGAAUUCCCAGUAAGCGCGAGUCAUAAGCUCGCGUUGAUUACGUCCCUGCCCUUUGUACACACCGCCCGUCGCUCCUACCGAUUGGGUGUGCUGGUGAAAUGUUCGGAUCGGCCGUUUGUCGCGGUUUCCGCGUCAUGUGGCUGAGAAGUUCAUUAAACCCGCCCACCUAGAGGAAGGAGAAGUCGUAACA
RNAcentral lists this ribosomal RNA (329 nucleotides) under uncultured eukaryote. RNAcentral describes it as "partial 18S ribosomal RNA". It matches the Rfam family "Eukaryotic small subunit ribosomal RNA", at positions 1470 to 1796 of the family's 1831-position model. The record is from RNAcentral.